Molecule: ribosomal RNA, 253 nt
Filed under: uncultured bacterium
Lineage: Bacteria
Description: partial 16S ribosomal RNA
Rfam family: Bacterial small subunit ribosomal RNA
Source: RNAcentral
UACGUAGGGUGCGAGCGUUGUCCGGAAUUACUGGGCGUAAAGGGCUCGUAGGCGGUUUGUCGCGUCGGGCGUGAAAACUCAGGGCUUAACCCUGAGCCUGCUUCCGAUACGGGCAGACUAGAGGUAUGCAGGGGAGAACGGAAUUCCUGGUGUAGCGGUGAAAUGCGCAGAUAUCAGGAGGAACACCGGUGGCGAAGGCGGUUCUCUGGGCAUUACCUGACGCUGAGGAGCGAAAGUGUGGGGAGCGAACAGG